GUAGAUUACACUUAGCAUGAAACUUGUAGCCAUAUGUACAAGCUGAAGAUACAACAUCAAACUGGAAUGGUAUCUAGCAAUUCUCUAACUCGCACAUCCACGUCACCUCCAAAGGAACGAUCAAGCAUGUAUCAUCAUCCUUGGGGUGCUUCUCCCAUGUAGUGUCUUCUUAGCAGCUACUGAAAAGGCUUGUGCAGCUUCAGCAUCAGCUUCAGCAGCCUCAGCCUCCCUACCAGCCUCCUCAGCUUCAGCUAUGGCUUCUUCUGCUUCAGCAACCGCUUGUGCAGCAGCAGCUGCAGCCUCUUGAGGUGUCAUGUUCCUCAUUCUAGCUAGCUCUAAAUCUAUCUGAGAUGUACUAAGCAUGGUCAUAUCAUCCCGAUCAAUCUUGGGGAAGAUCCUCUGCCUGCUGUCCAAAAGUGGAAGGGACAGGUUUCUUCUACUGUCAGAUGGUGUUGACAUAGGUACUAUUCUAUACCUACGCUUCAUCUUGAUAAGUUUCCCUGUUGCAGUUAAAUACUUCAGUUUCCCGGACAGUAGCCUUUUAAAAUUUGGAGGUGCCCAGUACUGGUCCUCUAUGUAUUCAGCUA
Molecule: unclassified non-coding RNA, 587 nt
Filed under: Hevea brasiliensis (rubber tree)
Lineage: Eukaryota; Viridiplantae; Streptophyta; Magnoliopsida; Malpighiales; Euphorbiaceae
Source: RNAcentral